UGUUCUAUGGUGUAAUGGUUAGCACUCUGGACUCUGAAUACAGUGAUCUGAGUUCAAAUUUUUGUAGGACCU
RNAcentral lists this transfer RNA (72 nucleotides) under Danionella translucida. It matches the Rfam family "tRNA". From Rfam's summary of the family: Transfer RNA (tRNA) molecules are approximately 80 nucleotides in length. Their secondary structure includes four short double-helical elements and three loops (D, anti-codon, and T loops). Further hydrogen bonds mediate the characteristic L-shaped molecular structure. tRNAs have two regions of fundamental functional importance: the anti-codon, which is responsible for specific mRNA codon recognition, and the 3' end, to which the tRNAs corresponding amino acid is attached (by aminoacyl-tRNA synthetases). tRNAs cope with the degeneracy of the genetic code in two manners: having more than one tRNA (with a specific anti-codon) for a particular amino acid; and 'wobble' base-pairing, i.e. permitting non-standard base-pairing at the 3rd anti-codon position. RNAcentral also lists the same sequence under 1 other name. The record is from Rfam by way of RNAcentral. Lineage: Eukaryota; Metazoa; Chordata; Actinopteri; Cypriniformes; Danionidae.